CGGGGGAGGCUGGAUCCUGGGCUGUGUCCCGGCGCCCUGUGCUCAGGGCCUGCGCUGGUGGAUUCGCGCUCCCGCCCCGCAGCCCCCU
Molecule: microRNA precursor, 88 nt
Filed under: Canis lupus familiaris (dog)
Lineage: Eukaryota; Metazoa; Chordata; Mammalia; Carnivora; Canidae
Description: mir-8799 microRNA precursor family
Rfam family: mir-8799 microRNA precursor family
Source: Rfam by way of RNAcentral